CGGUGGCGAUGCGCUUAGGGGAAACACCCGUACCCAUCCCGAACACGAUGGUUAAGACUUAAGCGGCCGAUGGUACUAUGCUGGAGACGGCAUGGGAGAGCAGGUGGCUGCCGGAUU
This 117-nucleotide ribosomal RNA is filed under the name [Clostridium] clostridioforme 90A1. RNAcentral also lists the same sequence under 1 other name. The record is from RNAcentral. Lineage: Bacteria; Bacillati; Bacillota; Clostridia; Lachnospirales; Lachnospiraceae.